GGCUAGGGAGUAGGUGGCAGGACAUGACACAAUUUGUGGGGCUGAAAAAUUACAUGUCCACUCUUACCUAUUAGAACCCCUGCUUGCUGCCAGUUUGUGUGGGCUGAAGGACACUCUGUUGCCCCCCUCCCCUUUAUAUUAUAAUUGUCCCCAUCUUCUAACUACAGGUGGGGGGCAGUGGUGGCAUUAGCAUUUUUAUUUAUUAAAUAGACCCCACCUGUUUCCAAUAUGAUCUUCCAACCCCCAUUAUUUAAAUUAAAGUCCUCCAUCCAAUGCCCAUGGGUGAGGGCACAUGGGGGACUAUGUCCUCCCUGUUAAAUAACAUGGGAAUAGGGCCUUUCUAGUGAAUGGCUGCCCAGUGACUAGUUUAUGUGGAUAUAUGAUAUAUGUUCCCACCUGCAGCUUCGGAGCCUUACUAAGGGUUUAUAAUUAAUUUAUAUUUUGGUGCUAUACUUUGUAUCGGAUUCACAUGCAAAAGCACUGAUUUCAACACACCAAAUGCAUCUAAGAGAUUGGUGCAGAUUAACUCAGACUGACCUAAUUCUGAUAUUUGACUUUUGGUCAUUUUUACCAGAUUUGUCCAUCAAGACAAAAUCUGGUGUUUAAUGAAUAACUCUGCAUUGUGUUAGUGUGCAGACUUUUGUGUAAGAAUAUAAAAGUCCUUUAGGGACAAUGUAAAUUAGCUGAAUAUGAUGUCUAUAAAGGGUAGUAAUUUUUCUGAAAAACAUCAAUUAGAGGGAUAAGUGUACAUUGGCGAUACCUGACCCACUUAUACACAUGAAUGAUGAUUACACUUAAUACAUUUUAUAUUCUCAUAUUUGAUUGCAUGUAUAUUUAGAUGUGUAUUAGUUAUAUGUAGUUCGCAUUCUCGCUGUAAUUAGGAUUGCAAAAUGUACAACAAUUAACAGCUAUCAAGUACUGGUUAUCUUUAUACAGCAUAUUUCAAUAAUAUGAUAUUGUAUAUUCAAUUAUAUCUACUGUUUCUACAUACAUGCACUGACGUGUGGAUACUAAUUAUCUCCUUUAUUCAUACAAUGCUUAGCAUUUACUUAUAGUUUUCCAUUUAAUUGUAUAUGUACAGAUGGAGAUAUAACACACUUUAUUGCUGUAGUACAGAUAUGAUUGAUGUUUCUAUGUAGAGUGUAUAAAAAUAAAGCAUUUGAAUAAGCUACUGUGAAAGGCUUUGUUCAAAGAAGUCAGCAAGUACAUUUUUUACUGCCAGGGAAUAAACAUGCAUUACGAAUCGAUAAUCAAUGAACUCUCUAGGACUUUUAGCUACAUGGGAUUUUUUGCCACUGGGAAGAAACUGGAACAUUGAAAUACAAAUAGCUUAAUAUUGUUCAAGCACACCCAACUAUACUAGCAUAAACAAAAAAAGAGACAGAGAUGGCUGUGAAAAAGUUUUAAGGCACUUUUAGAUUUGUAGAACUUUAAAUUGUUAUUUACCCCAUUUUGAGUACGCGGAAUAAUAGAAAACAAUGGAAGAGAAUGAAUUAAAGGAAAGUCUUUGACCCAACUUUUCUCUUUUGUUCUAGACUGUGGCUGAAAUACACAAAUGGGAAUAUGUAGGAGUGUGCAAACUCAAAUGUUGCAGAAACAAUCUCAAAAAUCGUUUUACCCAGCGCAGCAAAAGUACAUAGAUUGAUAUGGCUGUAUUAGCAAAAAAUCUACACGAGAAAAUAUACAAUGCACAGUUUAGUCAGACCAACUGGUGAAACUUACAUUUAUUAGAUCAUGCCAAAAUAGAAACGUUUCAGGACCCCUGUCCCUUUAACAAUUUAACAAUGGGCAGGGGUCCCAAAAUGUUUUUAUUUUGGCAUGAUCUUCUAAUAAAUGUAGGUUUCAACAGGGGCUUGAUUAACUAAGCUGCACAUUGUAUUUUUAUUUUUCUCUUGUUGCUGUAAUAGAUGGAAUUAUAUAACAAACACUUCUGAUUGAUAGGUAAAUCUGUGAUAUUUGUAAUAUAAUUAGAUUUUCUUUGCAGGACAAGUAUGCUUUCAUGUGUGAAAAUACAUAUGAAAAAACAUCAAGUUUAUAGGCAGGCAGACAGGCAGACAGACGGAUAGAUAGAUGGAUAGAUAGAUAGAGGGAGAGACCGACACAGGUGUAUAAUUGAACAUCUCUAAUUAGAAAGUUACUUGAAAACUUACUAUAUUAUGUGUUUCAUUAGGAGUCAGCAUGAGGUUAUGAGUAAUAAAUCAUAAAAUAAUUUACUUAGGUCUGAGCAAGGGGUGCAGCAAAAGAAGUGAUCUAUUACAUUUCGCUAAAUCUUUUGAUCCCUCACAGGAUGCAAUUGUAUAAAUAAAAGAAUAAAGGCAAAAGAUAACUCUUUGUACUUGAACAAAUUGGUUGAUAGACGGAAUGCAGAGAGCUGUUCCAAAUAUCUCAUUUGCAAUAUGGACAAAAUCUUUGUUUGCAGAACUUCAAAGUUGUGUAUUUGGACACACAUUUUGAUAUGUAUACACUUGAUGAAUGAAAAUAAAAGCAGCACAUGCUCACAGUUCAUAUUUUGGUGAAAGUAUGCA
Molecule: non-coding RNA, 2525 nt
Organism: Pelobates cultripes (western spadefoot toad)
Lineage: Eukaryota; Metazoa; Chordata; Amphibia; Anura; Pelobatidae
Source: the annotation of a GenBank genome assembly